RNAcentral lists this ribosomal RNA (490 nucleotides) under uncultured bacterium. Its description in RNAcentral is "bacterial SSU rRNA". It matches the Rfam family "Bacterial small subunit ribosomal RNA", at positions 28 to 507 of the family's 1533-position model. The record is from RNAcentral.
GACGAACGCUGGCGGCGCGCCUAAGUACAUGCAAGUCGAGCGAGAAGGUGUAGCAAUACCACUUGUAAAGCGGCGAACGGGUGAGGAAUACAUGGGUAAUCUACCAUCGAGUGGGAAUAACCAGCCGAAAGGUUGGCUAAUACCGCGUACGCUUCCCGAGUCUUCGGGCUUGGAACGGAAAGCCGCACUGUGAGUGCGGCGCUCUUUGAUGAGCUCAUGUCCUAUCAGCUUGUUGGUAGGGUAACGGCCUACCAAGGCUUUGACGGGUAGCUGGUCUGAGAGGACGAUCAGCCACACUGGCACUGCGACACGGGCCAGACUCCUACGGGAGGCAGCAGUAAGGAAUAUUGCGCAAUGGGCGAAAGCCUGACGCAGCGACGCCGCGUGGGGGAUGAAGGUCUUCGGAUUGUAAACCCCCUUUCGGGAGGGAAGACUGGAGCGAGCAAUCGUUCGGACGGUACCUCCAGAAGCAGCCACGGCCAACUUCGUG